GCAGUGGUGGCUCAGUGCUUAAGGCUCUGGGUUACUGAUCCAAAGGUUUGGGGUUCAAGCUUCCACUGUUGGG
Pangasius djambal is the source of this 73-nucleotide non-coding RNA. NCBI's taxonomy places the organism in Eukaryota, Metazoa, Chordata, Actinopteri, Siluriformes, Pangasiidae. The record is from the annotation of a GenBank genome assembly.